AGUGAACGCUGGCGGUAGACCUAACACAUGCAAGUCGAACGGCAGCACAGUAAGAGCUUGCUCUUACGGGUGGCGAGUGGCGGACGGGUGAGGAAUACAUCGGAAUCUACUUUUUCGUGGGGGAUAACGUAGGGAAACUUACGCUAAUACCGCAUACGACCUACGGGUGAAAGCAGGGGAUCUUCGGACCUUGCGCGAUUGAAUGAGCCGAUGUCGGAUUAGCUAGUUGGCGGGGUAAAGGCCCACCAAGGCGACGAUCCGUAGCUGGUCUGAGAGGAUGAUCAGCCACACUGGAGCUGAGACACGGUCCAGACUCCUGCGGGAGGCAGCAGUGGGGAAUAUUGGACAAUGGGCGCAAGCCUGAUCCAGCCAUACCGCGUGGGUGAAGAAGGCCUUCGGGUUGUAAAGCCCUUUUGUUGGGAAAGAAAAGCAGCAGGUUAAUACCCCGCUGUUCUGACGGUACCCAAAGAAUAAGCACCGGCUAACUUCGUG
This 492-nucleotide ribosomal RNA is filed under the name uncultured bacterium. RNAcentral's name for it is "partial 16S ribosomal RNA". It matches the Rfam family "Bacterial small subunit ribosomal RNA", at positions 29 to 507 of the family's 1533-position model. The record is from RNAcentral.